Long non-coding RNA from Oxyura jamaicensis (ruddy duck), 4253 nucleotides. RefSeq lists it as uncharacterized. The record is from RefSeq and is a predicted model, not a curated record. The transcript has 3 exons. NCBI's taxonomy places the organism in Eukaryota, Metazoa, Chordata, Aves, Anseriformes, Anatidae.
AGCUUCUUCCUGCAAUACUAAUGACUCAUAUGAAGCUCCACAUUCUGGGAAACCAGGCUGGGUAUUUUGGAGGAAAGGCCUUUCUCUGGAGAGAUUUCAGGCACUUUCACUCGAUUGCAGCUACAUCACUGGCAAUUUUAUUUCCACAGUUGUGAUGAUCCCAGUUGAAGAAUUACCUGACAUUGUGAACAAGGAUAUUGCCAUCUAAUCCUGUCACAUGCAGCCCCUGCGGCAGAACUGGGAGCUGAACCCAAGCUUCCCAUCCCUGGCCGGUCACUCAGACACAAGGUAAUUUUUCCCUAUGACAGGUCAAACCUGAGCACCUCUUGGUCAGGUCAUUGAAAAUGAGCACAGGUGUCCCCAGCCUAACUUCCCAUGCAAUUAAAUUCAUGCUGAGUCUGCUGUGGUGCUUGGCAAUCCUAGACUUCAUCUUUGGGCCACAGAAAACCUGCCUUCAUGGGCACAGAUUUUGAAGAAACAGACAAUUCAAGGAGAAUCUCCACUCACCUUGCACUUAAUUUCCAGUCCAUUUCUUUGCCUGUAUAUACUGCCACUUGCAUAAACUCAUGUGUAGUUGUCACAAAGCUAGAAAGGGAGAAUGGAUUGGGGUGAAAGUGGCCUAAAGUGUCUUCUAUCUGUGUGUGCAACACACACAUUUUAAUAUAUUUAUAUAACAGUGUAUAUUUGUAUAUAGUUUUUUUUAUUUAUGCAUAUAUAUAUAUAUGUACAUGUGUCAAAUUGAGAGUCUACCCUUAAAAUCUUAGACUAAUUCUAGGCAAAUUUGUUACAGAGAUGGAAUAAAUAGGGAAAAUCAUUUUUCAGGCUUGCUGCGGCAGACUGGUUGCAGUGUCUAAUGUCUAAUUCUCAGAGAAGAGGUCCUGUUCAACAAAGGGCCAGCUGCCACACAGGUUCUUGGGUCACUUAUUAUGGGAUCCACAUUUUCUUAUGUCGGCUGUUUCCUGAACUUAUUACUAGGUUGUAAGGUAAGAUUUCAUCCUGUAGACUUUGAUAUAUACCUAGGCAUAGCUAUAUCAAUUGAGAGAAUGUCAAAAGAUUCAUAUGCCUAACUUAAAGGUCCUGGUGUUUUCCCCAUGACUUUCCUGGAAGGUGCACUGAGAGUGUGCUAACACCAGGAAUUAUUGAACCUGUGAUGUUUGCUGUGAACCUGGACAUCUGUCUGAGGUAUCCUUGGCACUGAUUAUUCUGAUAUAAGGUGUGCCCAUGUGUAUGCUCAGUGACCCAGGAUUUUCAGAUACACAGAGGUAGCUCUGGCUUGGCAGCUAGACAUCUGGAAAUCCUGGACACCUGACCAGACUUCAAAUUUAACCUGAAAGAAAUAUCCAGGGGAAAAAUGAAGGCUUGUCAGAGAAACUUGGAUAUGUAACACCCGCCUUGGUGUAGCUUUACAAUACAAAAUCGAAGACUAAAACAGAUAUAUGCAAAGAAGAAUACAGAAAAACACUAUUUUUCUUUUUUCAACAUGUGAAAAAUAUUUCUCUUACAAGAAUAACUUAUCCUACUGAAGAAAACAGCAUAAAAUGUACUAGGACUCCCAAAGGGGCCCGUUGAUAUCAGCAAACCCACCCAAAAGCAGUCACUUAAGGAGUUACUAGAUGUUUUCCAGAGUCAUCUGAGCUUCUGGGGUUUUCAGUCUGAAAUUCUGUUUCCAGACAUCUAACCCCUGGAUACUGUACAACUGCUGAAAAUGUUUAUUUUGAAUUAAGAGACUCGUUACUGAAGCUACUAGAGGACUUCUGUACAACAACAGUAAUCAACAUUUCCCUCAAAGCGAAAUCAAACACUCGCCAAAUGUUUGGGGGCAAGGCACUGUUUGUGUAUGAAUUAUAACUAAUGUGGAAUUGAAAGGGAAUUGCUCUGUUCCCAGGUUAAGCGCUGCUGGUGAAAUUAGCAAAUGUGAUUCCUUUUUUCCCUCAAGGCAUGAAGCUGGAGAAAAAAGCAAGAAGAGAGGGAAGCAGCUUCUGCAUUUUUCUUCUAAUCAGCCAUGCGUAUUAGCGUAUAAGGCAAGACAGGAAGGUAAUAUGAGAAUCAGGCAAGCAGCCAGAUGACAUUGUGUAAGGCAUCUUUGUAUAACUGCCAGCUAGUGUCUUAUAAUAUUGAACACUGAAGUUUCUAUUUAGCAGUGUUGAUUGAAUGGUGGAAAAAAAAAGAAAUCCAGGCAAGGAUAAUGUCUGUAAUCAGCACUGCACGAUUGCUAUUGUCUAUGCUUGGUAUACUUAAUGGAGAAGCUAAUUACCAUGUGUUCAUUUUUUUUUAUUACGUUUACUAUAUUGCAUGGAGAAGUAAUAUGAUUUUUUUUUUCCUCCAUGGGUUUACAGAAAACAAACAAUACAAACAAAAACAUGAUGGACCCCCCCGCCUCCACCCCCAGCCCUAAUUAAUUCUCAUUAGGGCCACCGUUUUUAUUUCCAAGAGGAAGUCAGAAGGCUAGGACAGCAUGCCUGAUGAGCUCACUAGCCUAGCCCAGUGUGUGCUUGGACGGGGCUGCUGAUGUGUUUGAAUGUGACAGGAAGGAAACGGCGUAAACCCAAUGCACAGUCGUUCCAUUUAACUUCUCUGAGAUGCAUUCAUUUUACCUACUACUUCCCAUGCAGCUUUAGAAAAACAAAAGGGCAAAGUACCCCUGAAAAGUGGUGGAUUGACAACUUCUUUCUGCAUGGCUGGAGAGGAGCAAUACCGUGGAAGCAUACCCCAGGAUGACAUGACAGUGUCCUAAGAAUUUUUGACCGAGUCCUGCAGUAACUAGGUGUGAGAACUUCUGGCACUCUGUUCCUCAGACCAUCCCCUAUGCCUGCUCAGUGUAAACGAGCUGAGUUUACUCUCUCACUGACUGCUGUCGAGGGGCACCUGCCACCGCCAGGGCAGGCAGACAGAAGUCCCUGCAAGACAGUGCCAGUGGCUGUGCCUCCUAACCCCUGGCCUUGUGGAUAGGACUCUCUCUUGGGCGAAAACCUGCUGCUGCUGGAAGGGAGUUGAUGGACACAUCCUCAGUGGUCAACACCCUCUAAGCCUUCCUUGGUAGAGCUGUUUUGCUUUGUGUAAAAUGCUUGAAUAGAUAUUGUAAAAGGGACCAGAGCUUUUCCCUGAAGGUGAGUAAUCUGGUUACUCAUCUACUCACUGUUCUCCCCCUCUCUCCUUUCCAGUGAAUAAUUAUCCCAUGAAAAGUGAGCAUUUAGGGCCUUUUGUGACCCAGGUCAUUGGGAAUUUAUAUCUCACCUAUUGUCAAUGUAUGUCUUUCAGUCAGAUCUGUGCCACUAAGGGCCUGAUUUUUAAGUGUGUUUGGAAACUAUAAGAAGAAGAUGGCGAUACUUAGUGGGAUUUUUAUGAAGUGCCUUUGUGUUCCAAACCCCCAUGGGAAAGCAGCUCCAUCUAACUGUUAAAUCCUGAGAAAUAUCUUAUUUGCAUUAACUAUGCUUGGAGGGUUAAAAAGACAUUAGCAUAACCCUUACAAAUUGUAUAAUGCUAUGGAGUCCCGUGAAUUGCUGAGUGGCCCCUGGAAGAGGUUGGGAUCCUACUCAGGUCUUGCUGCUUCUCCCAGAAGGAUGAGGUUCCACAUUCACACUACAUGUAGAGCAUGCACAAGGUGCAUUGUCCCCAGGGAUGUGAACGUCAAUCGUCAGAUGCCGAUUAGACCAACAUUCAUACCAAGGCAGAGCUAAAAACAAUGUCAGUCAAACUGAACUCAGUGCUCAUUUUAACAAGCAGGUUCACAAAGUCUGGUCCUCCCACGCUGAAAGAAAUAGGAAGAUGUUACAGUAUUUAUAGACUGGAUUUCAAAAAGCAGAAGCAGCUAAUGCACUCUCUUUAUUAAGCACACUCCCCAGUGCCUGCAAAUUGCUGAAUAUUUCAAGCCUUAUUUAAUUUUUAAUACAGCAAUCUGUUACGUAAUCAGAUAUAUUUUGAGGGAAACUUAUUAUUGCGUCUCACAGUCUGACUGGUUUCCCUCUAAGAGGCUGGCAAACUAUUGCAUGUGGUUUUUAUGGGCAGGAACUCCUUUUUUUCAUACCACUGAAGCUGAAAUUAAAAUGUCCUACUCAAUGUAUGGGGUAUAUUAGGCACAAAGAAGCAGUGUCUGACAGAGUGGUGGUAAGGGGACAGAUUAGUUCUUUGUCACACAGGGAAGGAGUGAAGACUUUCUCUUCUGAUAACAAAUUUUAAUGUAAAAAUUGGCUGCUCCACCAUAUCAUCCUCUAUGGCUGCCACACACUUUGGCAAGGUAAGCAGGAGAGAUCAGG